RNAcentral lists this ribosomal RNA (491 nucleotides) under Byblia ilithyia. RNAcentral describes it as "partial 16S ribosomal RNA". The stretch from base 353 to 491 matches the Rfam family "Bacterial large subunit ribosomal RNA", at positions 2473 to 2612 of the family's 2925-position model. Lineage: Eukaryota; Metazoa; Arthropoda; Insecta; Lepidoptera; Nymphalidae. The record is from RNAcentral.
UUAAAGGGCUGCAGUAUAUUGACUGUACAAAGGUAGCAUAAUCAUUAGUCUUUUAAUUGGAGACUUGUAUGAAAGAUUUGAUGAAAUAUAAACUGUCUCUAAUUUAUUUAUAAAAAUUAAUUUUUUAGUUAAAAAGCUAAAAUUUUAUUAAAAGACGAGAAGACCCUAUAGAGUUUUAUAUUUGUUAUUAAUUAUAUAUAUAUAUAUAUAUAUAAUAUUUAAAUUUAUUUAAUUAAUAAUAAAUAUUGUAUUGGGGUGAUAAAAAAAUUAAAUAAACUUUUUUUAAAUGAAAAAUAUAAAUAAAUAAAAUUAUGAUCCAUUAUUAAUGAUUAAAAGAAAAAAUUACCUUAGGGAUAACAGCGUAAUAUUUUUUUUUAGAACAAAUAAGAAAAAAAGUUUGCGACCUCGAUGUUGGAUUAAGAUAAAAUUUAAAUGCAAAAGUUUAAAAUUUUGAUCUGUUCGAUCAUUAAAAUCUUACAUGAUCUGAGCUC